UGCUAAAAAGACAAACUAAAAAAUAUUAUUCACUCAUUUAUUAUAAAUGAAAAACAUUGUUUCUUUGCUGAAACAGUACGGCUUCCUCUUAUGUCUCUAUGAUAUUCUCUGUAUUCUUUUUCUCUCUCCCGUGCUCUCACUCUCUUCUUCCAUUUCUCCAUAAGAGACGCGCAGCAACGAGGGGCUGCUCCUGUUGUUCACAUGCACACCCUUCCUCGAACUACCUGGCCAGGAUCCCAGUCGUCCAACCAGGGUCUUCUUUAGUUUCGAAAAGUGAAAAAUUUUCGCUACUGUAACACUUUCGUUUGUUUGUGAUAAAUAUUAUUCAAUCAUAGAUUAACUAGGAUCAAAAGAUUCGUCUCGUGAUUUACAGCUAAACUGUAUAGUUAGUUUUUGUUUUCGCCUAUAUUUAAUAUUUCAUACAUGUGCCAUAAAAUUCGAUGUGACGGAGAAUCUUGAAAACUUUUUGUUUUUCAGUGUGAAUUAAACAAGGUCUACGAGCAGCAGCCGGCGAGCAGGCCGCCUAGCACGACGCCGACGAGGUGCCUACUCUUAGCUUUUAUUUCCCUGAUUAAGGAUGACAUGACCUACAAAUGGAUAUCCGCGGUUCUUUUUUAAUAUAAUUAAAUAAAGUAAAUAAAAAAUAAAAGAAAAAAAAUUAUUUAUUUAAUUUAUUAAAUUAAACUAGAAAAAACCACACAGAUACCUACAUUUGAAACACCGUCUCUAUCCUUACCAGUGAUCCACACCCAAGCCAAGUAAAAGUCGCACAUGUAGCCACACUCAAAUUUGCUUCCAUAAUUUCUAGCUUCGGUUCCUGAUUUGGUGUUUGAUUUAAUUACUGAAAUUUGAAGAAUCGAAGGCUACUUUCUACAUCUUAUUUUUUUUUCAGGAUUUUAUUUAGUUUUCUGUAGGGUGGCCGCCGGGCGACCGGUACGGAUGCGAGCUG
This 949-nucleotide long non-coding RNA is filed under the name Sorghum bicolor (sorghum). RNAcentral's name for it is "long non-coding RNA (SBIC_LNC013526)". Lineage: Eukaryota; Viridiplantae; Streptophyta; Magnoliopsida; Poales; Poaceae. The record is from RNAcentral.